This 976-nucleotide long non-coding RNA is filed under the name Capsicum annuum. Its description in RNAcentral is "long non-coding RNA (CANN_LNC017332)". Lineage: Eukaryota; Viridiplantae; Streptophyta; Magnoliopsida; Solanales; Solanaceae. The record is from RNAcentral.
GAGAAUGGAUAGUACAACUAUGUGGCCGCAUAAGGAGGUUCCCCCGGGCAACUUGGAUACCUCAAAGAUCGAGGUUAGGUUGAUUAUUUUGUCAUUGUGGUCCCAAAGACCCUUACAAAGUUACCUAUCUCAUAUCUUAGAGUACUUAUCGUAAGAAACCCGAGCUGGGGCAUUUAUUUUAUACAGUAUUCUUUUUUAUUAGUUAUUGUCAAUAGAUUAUCACCAAGUAAAUUUCUGCAUCAUCUCAUUGGUUCCCUCUUAGAAGAAUCACCUAUCUCCAUUUGAUUAGAGAGUUUUGCUCAUGGAUAGAGAAGGUUUUGAACAUAUCCACAAUUGCUAGUCGAUCUUAGGUGCAUAUCCAACUAGUUCGAUUGGGAAGAAAAGAACCACUGUACUUUUAACACCUUACACUUCUUACUAUUUUCUUUAGAUUGAUUUUUUUCCUUAGAACUUCUUGCAAAACUGACAUCUAGUUCUAUGAUUAUAUCAUCCUAGAUUGUUGCUACCAAUUUAAUGAGCCAAGAUACUAAAGGUUGACUUUGUGCCUUUGAUGAUGUUACGACGGACCAUGUCCUCGAGGUUAAGCCUCAAUCUAUUAAAGGGAAGAAAAGAAAAAGGCCAGACUUGUUAGUAGAAGGGGUUUGCUUUCGGGGUUAUUUCUUAAGAUAAAGGCUCUGAGGGUCUAUGGACGCAUCACCAAUCCAGAGAAUGGGUGCUCUUAUCAUAACUUGUUUCAAAUUUAUAGGUCUAUUCAAGAAGCUAGAGAAAGUUAUAAGCCCCAGUCAGAUUGCCUAAAUAAUGAAGUAGGUGUCUCUCCAUAAUUCUCCUUGGAAGUCCCUGUCGAGCAUAGAAUUUUAAAACAUAUUAUCUUAAUGCCUUUUUUGGCAUUAUCCCACUAUGGUUUAUGUAGUCCUUCAUAUCACAUCUGACUUUUCACGCUUUCUGGAUUGGGGCCUAAUGCAAUAUCAAAUGGCAG